UACGUAGGUGGCAAGCGUUGUCCGGAUUUACUGGGCGUAAAGAGCGCGCAGGCGGUCGUUCAAGUCGCGUGUGAAAGCCCCCGGCUCAACUGGGGAGGGUCACGCGAUACUGAUCGACUCGAAGGCAGGAGAGGGAAGUGGAAUUCCCGGUGUAGUGGUGAAAUGCGUAGAUAUCGGGAGGAACACCAGUGGCGAAGGCGACUUCCUGGCCUGUUCUUGACGCUGAGGCGCGAAAGCUAGGGGGAGCAAACGGGG
Molecule: ribosomal RNA, 255 nt
Filed under: uncultured bacterium
Lineage: Bacteria
Description: partial 16S ribosomal RNA
Rfam family: Bacterial small subunit ribosomal RNA
Source: RNAcentral